UUUAUCCCUUGGUUUAGAAAUUGAUCUUUGGAGUUUAGCGGUUGAAUUAAGUGAUUUCAGAAUAAUCUUUUUUUUUUUACUUGAUUUCAGAAUAAUCUUGGUAUGUGGUUUGUAUUGGGUUCUAUUUUAACCUUUUUCUUUUGUGCUUUAUUUUUUGCAUGAAGGGUUGUGCCAAAUCAUUGUUUCUCUUUCAAGAAAUUGGAUAAAAGUUGGAUGAAUAAACCAAGACAUAGUGAACCGUAUAUGCUUGGAGUUGAGAAGUUUUUACAGUUUGUAUUUCGUAAUCAAUCAAGAAUGGAAUGAUUUUAUGUCCAUGCGUAGAAUGCAAACUUGGUAGAUGUGUUGGAAGAAGUGAUGCACGAGAACAUUUGAUAGUUAAGGGGUUUAUUAAAGGG
Molecule: long non-coding RNA, 395 nt
Filed under: Salvia miltiorrhiza (redroot sage)
Lineage: Eukaryota; Viridiplantae; Streptophyta; Magnoliopsida; Lamiales; Lamiaceae
Description: long non-coding RNA (SMIL_LNC010296)
Source: RNAcentral